This is a non-coding RNA of Oryctolagus cuniculus (rabbit), 5078 nucleotides long. The record is from RefSeq and is a predicted model, not a curated record. Lineage: Eukaryota; Metazoa; Chordata; Mammalia; Lagomorpha; Leporidae.
CACCUUCCCCUAAAUAAAGUUGAACAGUUCUAGGCUGCGCUCAGAUGCUGAGGGAGACAUCACCCGGAGUGAGCUGCUCUCGCCGCAGCAGUCACCAGCCAGCACCUCUUCCCCCGCCCCCAGCCCUGCACUCUUGGAACGGCGGCAACCUCGAGAGCCCGGCUCCGUGAUCUGCCCAGGGAGGCAAAUGGUAACAGGGGAUAGAAGAUGAAUAUGAGGAGAGAGUGAAGAGAAGAGCAGAUCCUCAUAGGCAGCGAAAAUCCAAGUCAACUCUUCCAUCAUCUUCAAGGCAAAGACUGUGAGAGAAAGAGUGCAUCGUUGGUGUUUCUUCCAAUGAGAUCACCUUUCAACUUAGGAUUCAUGCCUGCCUUCUGGACUUCCGAGAACUAUGAGAAUAUUAAUAAGCUGAAUGCAACCAUCCAGGGUGAAGCCACCCAUCUGGAGGCUCCUCUCUCCUCCAUGGUGGCCCUAAUAAUAGUGCUGAUAAUUAUUUUCUCAUUGGUAAUGACCUCCUUUGUGACAUACUGUUUCCAGAAGUGGAGGCUGAGGGGCCGUAAGCUGCAAAGAGCCCAGGAAGAGUAUCAAAGAGAUCAGGAGAAAAAUAUAUUUCAUAGCCCUUCUGAUCUCAUUUCCUAAAAGUGUGGUAAAUUAUAAGUGAAAGGCACCAUCUGAAACAAAGCAAAAUAACAAGAAAGGACAAAAAAUGAAAUAAGAAGUUGAACAUUAAACAACAUGAAGCAAAACCACAGGCAACAAAAUGACACACUGCAAAGCAAUGUGAAGAGAAAGAGGAGAACGACAAUUGUACAAUGAACUCUGAAAGAAGGGUUCAUCUUGUAGCUGAUUUGUUAUUCAGACUGCUCAUUGUUUGAAAGUUGCCUACAGUUUCAUUGUAGUUUAUAAUCAAGUUGGUGGUGAUUUUGUUUUGUUUUGUUUUAGGGUUUUUUUUUAUGUAAAUCAAAACCAAAACUAUCAUGUAUUUCACAUCAACAUUUUAUUUACCGUCAACCUUUGAUUUGAUGAUGAGUGUGAGUUAUUAGAGGUUCUGCAUUGUUCAUUUAUUUACUUGCCAAGGAUAGCCAGGUGAAUGUACAGACAGGAAUGUUGUUGGUAUCAGGCUUAUCAUGUGGUAGUUUAUUUUCUGAUUAGUAAUAUUUACCAUGAAGAUAAGAAAAAGGAAAAGAAAGACAAUAAUCACAGUACAUGUAACAAAUACUUUAAGUUCUAUUUGCAACAAAAUCAAGUAGAUGUGUUGAAAUGUAAGUAAUGUGUGUUUUAUAAAAAGGAUAAAAAAAGAAAACUCAAGUCCCAGACAACCACUUAUCCCCUGUUCCACUGAAGCUUUGCCUGAGUUAUGGAUUGCUUGAAAUUAAUUAAUUAAUGUUGUAUAUGUUUGAAAAAAAUUCAUUUCUGGUAAUAGUGCUGUAUGUAUACUUGUUUUGGUAGAACAAAAUGGUCAUUAUAAUAUGACUGAGACAUUUUUCAAAGUAUGUGUUACUUAAGUAGUGUUGAUAAUUAAAAUAUGAAAAUGUCUUGGAUUUUAUAAAUGAAAUUUAUUAAAUGAAAAUAGAUGUCUUAUAGAAUGCAUUGUGGAGUAUAUCAAUCAUUGGAUAUGAAAGCAAGUCCUCUUACUUUGUGACUCAAUAAAUAUGUGCAUUAAAAAGAAAAUAUUAGUUUUUUGGAAACUAAUAAGAAUAAUUGUCUUGGGUUAAAAUUGUCUUUACUAAAUACUUAAUGUGAAAAAAAAUUCUGGAAAUUGAGACCACUGAAGAGUGUACAUCAGGGAAUUUAUGAAAAGGGAAGGAGAUAAAGUGAAAUAGAAGCAAAGGGGUUUCUAAAGUACAAACAUAUAGUUUCAAAGGCCCAGAAAGUAAAAUCAUGUAUAGAAAUAAAAUACAUAGUCUCUUCUUAAGGAACUUGGAUUGGGACUCAAAAUGAACAUUAGGAGUUAAGGUAAGAACAUCUGCAAAGCACAAAAAUUGGAAUCUUGGUGUAUAUAGUUAGCUCAAAUGCCUCUAGGCUUCACAAGCCUAUGGAGACAUACACAGUAUUUUAAUAUUAAGGACCCAGAGUUCUUAUUCCACUUCCCACUUGGUCAUGCAAGACCUCUAACUUCUCUUGCAACUUCACUGAGAGUCUAAAGUGUACAAAUGGAAUGAAAGAAGAGAGGCAAUAGUGUUUACAAUCCAUAUCUCACCUUUUGUCACUACAUAGUGACUAUAAUGUUCUUUCUCUCAUACUUUGUUUUCCUAUUUGAUAACAUCAGCUACCUAUAAAGCCUCGCUCUUAACCCCUGAAGAUGGUGCCCAUACAUGGAAGUUAGGUCUGUGCCAUUUAUGCCACCUUCCAGUUUUUACAAACUACCAUUCCAUGUGGUGCUAAGAGUAGUAUGAGGUCCCAUAUAGAACUGAAGAUAAAGCUCAUCCCCAAAUUCUGUAUUAGGCUUCCUAAACUGGAUUCCAUGUAAGUAUUAAUGGAUACCAGACUUUCAACAAAAUAACUUCACCCCCACAAAAGCAUCAGAAGUUCAAAUGCAUUUGAAGGGUAGAAUUAAGGAUAACACUAUAUACCAUCUCCUUCAGUCCAGCUCUCCAUACUCUCCCUCCUUUCCUUGGUUACAAAACAAAUUCUUCGGUUUUCUUCCAAUAUCAGUAAGUAAAAAAGAAACUGAAAAGAAGUUAAAAAGUUACUAUUCAUGAGUCUUGGUCCAUUUCAUGCUGUUAUAACAGAAUACUAUAAACUGAGUAACUUGCAAUGAACAGAAAUUUAUGUAUCAUGGUUCUGGAGGCUGGAAUGUCCAAGAUGGAGGGAAUCACAUCUGGUAAGAACUUUGCCUUUUUGCUGCAUCAUCUCAUUGUGGAAAGUGGACUGGCAAGAGAUCAUAAGAAAGAAGAGCAAAGACCCUAAACUCAUUUUAUCAGGAGCUACUCCCAUGAUAAUGGCAUCAAUCCAUUCAUGAAAGCAGAGCCCUCGUGACCUAAUCACCUGUUAAAGGUCCCACCUCUCAACACUGUUGCAUUGUGUGUUAAGUUCCUAACAGUGGAGGGCACAUUCAAAUAAUAGCACCAUGCUAUCUUAGUCCCCACAAAUGCACUAUUUCGGUAGUUCCAGAUACAGAGAAGAAUGUGAAGUGAGGGAGUAAUCUGAGAAGUGGUGUGGUCAUAAAGAUUUUAAUCCUAUAAAAUGAUUUUGAAUUAGAUUUUGAAGAAACAGAAGAAUGUGAUAUGGAGAAGAAUAAAAAAAAAAGGACUAAAAUUCCUGGCGGGAUAAUGACAUUUGCAAAGUUUUAAAUAUUUGACUUUCUCUUUCCUGAAGCAAGGAGCUGAUCAAUCUGCUGGUGGGUCUUCUGGGGUAGCAUGAGGAAUUUGCUAAGGAUAGAAUUUUUCUAAGAUAGCAGGCAAAGCUGAAAGAUGGGCAAGCUGGGAUAAAGGUCAAAGUGGAGGUUAGAUCUUCAAAAAGAGAAGGGCAUCCCAAUUGCCUUCCAAAAGAGAAGACAAUACUUAAGUAGACAAAACUCAGCAGGAGAAUUGGUUAAAGCUGAGAAAAACAGAUUGAGUGCCAAUUUCUGAGUCUACUGAUGUUACCCUCGACAGAUUUUUGCAUGCUUUUUAUAUAUUUAAGUAGACAAAAUAGGACUAAAACAAGUUAGAACUAAAAUAUACCCUAAAUUCAAAGAUAAGUUUUAUUUCUGUUUAAUGUAAUAAUCCAAAGCAGAAGUUUCAAAUGGGUUGAUGGUGGCUGCAUGAGAGCAAGAGGCUUUGCUCCAUGAGACAUUCAGGGGUCCAGGCUGAUGACACCUAACUUUCUAUUUUCUCUAGUUAUCAUGGUGACCAUUUCAGUACACAAAAAGUGAGAAAGAAUAAGGAAGAAUACACUUGGAGGUUGUUUUUUUUUUUAAUUUAUAUACUUCUUUGAAAUUCAGAGUGACAGAGACAGAAAGAGUGAGAGACAGAUCUUCCAUCUGCUGGUUCAAUCCCCAAAUGGCCACAAUGGACAGGGCUGGGCCAGGUCCAAGCCAGGAGCCUGGAGCUCCAUCCAGGUCUUCUACAUAGGCGAAAGGGGCGCAAGUACUUGGGCCAUCUUCCACUGCUUCCCUGUGCAAUACCAGGAAGCUUGAUCAGAGGUGGAGCAGCUUUGACUCAAACUGGUGCCCAUAUGGGAUGCCAGCAUCACAGGCUUAAACCACUAAGCCAACAAUGCCAGCCCCAUGUGGAGGUUUUUAUAUGUAAUUCCUUGAAAUAAGACAUACCACUUCUUCCCACAUUCCAUUGGAGAGAAUUUGGUCAUAUAGUCAUAUCUAACUACAAGAGAAGCUGGUACUUUGGCAGGGCAGCUAUCUGCCUAGAUAAUUAUGGUACACGAGGAAAAAUGAUUUUAGAGGACAGUCAACAGUCUCACCACAUAAUGCCAUGGAGACAAAAUCUAUAUAUUCCUAUGGGGCAAGCUGUUACUGGAUUUAAAAUGAAAGAAGGGGUGUGUUGAUUAUGUACAAACCAAACAAGAAUGCCCUCAUCAAAGAAUAAUGAGAAUAAUAGAAAAGAACAUGACAAAAACCAGGUACAACUUAAAAAUUUGGUGAAAUAACAAAUAACUGUAGCUUCUUGAGUAGAAAGUAAUGAUAAAAUUAUAUUUAAUAUGCUCAAUAAAUAAAUAAUAUGAUUUACCUAUAUUGUCAAAUGGAUUUUGGAUGACUUACCUAUAAUUGGACACAUUUUUAUAAAUCAGAAUACAAAUCAAUUACAUAUUGACUUAGAUUAUAACAUUGGAGGUGGUUAGACUAGCACAGAGGUUAUUAUGGUUGUCUAGGCUUGAGAAUGUUUGAACACUUAGUUCUACUUGAGUGAUGGUCAUGGAAGCAGGAAGUAGGAUUCUAGCUUGAAGAGACACUAUAGAGAAAGAAUCAACAACACUUGGAGAAGUACUGAAACAGGCAGUGAAGGAGAGCUAUAAAUUGAAGCUCACGUAAUCAAGAAAUACUGACCACAUAUCAUGGUCUAUACUUGGUAUGGGAGAUAGGCAGCCUACAUAAGAAACUUGAAAGGCAGAGUGACAGAUAUCAAUAAAGAUGGAUGGAUGGA